This 636-nucleotide ribosomal RNA is filed under the name Staphylococcus capitis. Its description in RNAcentral is "bacterial SSU rRNA". It matches the Rfam family "Bacterial small subunit ribosomal RNA", at positions 757 to 1391 of the family's 1533-position model. Lineage: Bacteria; Bacillati; Bacillota; Bacilli; Caryophanales; Staphylococcaceae. The record is from RNAcentral.
AAGCGUGGGGAUCAAGCAGGAUUAGCUACCGUGGUACUCCACGCCGUAAACGAUGAGUACUAAGUGUUAGGGAUUUUCCGCCCCUUAGUGCUGCAGNAAACGCAUUAAGCACUCCGCCUGGGGAGUACGACCGCAAGGUUGAAACUCAAAGGAAUUGACGGGGACCCGCACAAGCGGUGGAGCAUGUGGUUUAAUUAGAAGCAACGCGAAGAACCUUACCAAAUCUUGACAUCCUCUGAUCCCUCUAGAGAUAGAGUUUUCCCCUUCGGGGGACAGAGUGACAGGUGGUGCAUGGUUGUCGUCAGCUCGUGUCGUGAGAUGUUGGGUUAAGUCCCGCAACGAGCGCAACCCUUAAGUUUAGUUGCCAUCAUUAAGUUGGGCACUNUAAGUUGACUGCCGGUGACAAACCGGAGGAAGGUGGGGAUGACGUCAAAUCAUCAUGCCCCUUAUGAUUUGGGCUACACACGUGCUACAAUGGACAAUACAAAGGGUAGCAAAACCGCGAGGUCAAGCAAAUCCCAUAAAGUUGUUCUCAGUUCGGAUUGUAGUCUGCAACUCGACUACAUGAAGCUGGAAUCGCUAGUAAUCGUAGAUCAGCAUGCUACGGUGAAUACGUUCCCGGGUCUUGUACACACC